UACGUAGGGUGCAAGCGUUGCCCGGAUUUAUUGGGCGUAAAGGGCGCGUAGGCGGCUCGGCACGUCCGUUGUGAAAUCGCCCGGCUCAACUGGGCGGGGUCAGCGGAUACGGUCGAGCUUGAGCAAGCUAGGGGGCAAUGGAAUUCCCGGUGUAGUGGUGGAAUGCGUAGAUAUCGGGAGGAACACCAGUGGCGAAGGCGGCUUUCUGGUCUGUAACUGACGCUGAGGCGCGAAAGCGUGGGGAGCAAACAGG
This 253-nucleotide ribosomal RNA is filed under the name uncultured bacterium. Its description in RNAcentral is "partial 16S ribosomal RNA". It matches the Rfam family "Bacterial small subunit ribosomal RNA", at positions 524 to 776 of the family's 1533-position model. The record is from RNAcentral.